GAUGAACGCUGGCGGCGUGCCUAAUACAUGCCAGUCGAGCGAACGGACGAGAAGCUUGCUUCUCUGAUGUUAGCGGCGGACGGGUGAGUAACACGUGGAUAACCUACCUAUAAGACUGGGAUAACUUCGGGAAACCGGAGCUAAUACCGGAUAAUAUUUUGAACCGCAUGGUUCAAAAGUGAAAGACGGUCUUGCUGUCACUUAUAGAUGGAUCCGCGCUGCAUUAGCUAGUUGGUACGGUAACGGCUUACCAAGGCAACGAUGCAUAGCCGACCUGAGAGGGUGAUAGGCCACACUGGAACUGAGACACGGUCCAGACUCCUACGGGAGGCAGCAGUAGGGAAUCUUCCGCAAUGGGCGAGAGCAUGACGGAGCAACGCCGCGUGAGUGAUGAAGGUCUUCGGAUCGUAAAACUCUGUUAUUAGGGAAAAACAUAUGUGUAAGUAACUGUGCACAUCUUGACGGUACCUAAUCAGAAAGCCACGGCUAACUACGUG
Molecule: ribosomal RNA, 497 nt
Filed under: uncultured bacterium
Lineage: Bacteria
Description: partial 16S ribosomal RNA
Rfam family: Bacterial small subunit ribosomal RNA
Source: RNAcentral